CGGUGACGAACAAAAGAAAUGGAUCGAAUAAAGUCAGCUGCAAAUAGAUACCCACGGCCACGUGCUGGAAUGCAGAUAGCAUAUCAACAAUGAGAUAAAGCUUUCUGAAGCAGAAGGUCACUGAACCAAGAUUUCUGACACAUGUCCAAGUGCUGGCUUUUAAAAUGGAGCGUAACAGAAAGCACAUUCUUUCCGGUCACUGGAAUUCUUUCAAAGAAGCAGUUGUAUGAAAUGGAAGACGACGGUAUAUUGAAGAAGACUCAAGUGGACGAGGUAUCAGACAUGUUGGCAAAAGUAAGAUGAAGGUGGUACAAUGAAUGGACACCAACUUCAAAUAAACUCCCAUAAGAACCAUCAGGACUAACUUACCCGAAAGGAACAUUCAAAUUCACAUCAAUCAAUAACAGCUAAUAAUGGCCUCUGUUAAUUUGUUUUAAUUUUGACCGAGUGAUAACAUUGCCAUCAUUUUUUUUUUAACAAUCCUUGAUGGAACUGCUACCUCUGUUGAACUCUUGAGUGUAUCUCGUCCCAAAGAGAAUGAUCAACAAAAUCAGUCCUGGAUACACGCUAUACAUUCUGUUAUACCUACUCAUAGCUCAUCUGUGACAUAGCUUCUGAAUUGAAAGCAAAGAAAAAAAAAAACUGGAAGAGAGAGAAUAAAAUAUUUGCUCACAUCUGGGAAGAAUUCAACUAAUUUCUUUAGCUGACUAAGCCUAUAGAAGGAUCACAAUCAUCUUCCUCUCUCUUGUUCCCCAAAGUGGCUCUGAACUGGGGUCCCUGCUUUCUCUCUUGCCC
Non-coding RNA from Puma concolor (puma), 795 nucleotides. The record is from RefSeq and is a predicted model, not a curated record. NCBI's taxonomy places the organism in Eukaryota, Metazoa, Chordata, Mammalia, Carnivora, Felidae.